UACACUCCUGCGGGAGGCAGCAGUGGGGAAUAUUGGACAAUGGGCGCAAGCCUGAUCCAGCCAUGCCGCGUGAGUGAUGAAGGCCCUAGGGUUGUAAAGCUCUUUCACCGGUGAAGAUAAUGACGGUAACCGGAGAAGAAGCCCCGGCUAACCUCGUGCCAGCAGCCGCGGUAAUACGAAGGGGGCUAGCGUUGUUCGGAUUUACUGGGCGUAAAGCGCACGUAGGCGGACUAUUAAGUCAGGGGUGAAAUCCCGGGGCUCAACCCCGGAACUGCCUUUGACACUGGUAGUCUUGAGUUCGAGAGAGGUGAGUGGAAUUCCGAGUGUAGAGGUGAAAUUCGUAGAUAUUCGGAGGAACACCAGUGGCGAAGGCGGCUCACUGGCUCGAUACUGACGCUGAGGUGCGAAAGCGUGGGGAGCAAACAGGAUUAGAUACCCUUGUAGUCCC
RNAcentral lists this ribosomal RNA (448 nucleotides) under uncultured organism. RNAcentral's name for it is "partial 16S ribosomal RNA". It matches the Rfam family "Bacterial small subunit ribosomal RNA", at positions 332 to 797 of the family's 1533-position model. The record is from RNAcentral.